UAGUUGGUGGGGUAAAGGCCUACCAAGGCGACGAUCUGUAGCGGGUCUGAGAGGAUGAUCCGCCACACUGGAACUGAGACACGGUCCAGACUCCUACGGGAGGCAGCAGUGGGGAAUUUUGGACAAUGGGGGCAACCCUGAUCCAGCCAUGCCGCGUGAGUGAAGAAGGCCUUCGGGUUGUAAAGCUCUUUCGUCCGGGAAGAAAUCGCACAGGCUAAUACUCUGUGUGGAUGACGGUACCGGAAUAAGAAGCACCGGCUAACUACGUGCCAGCAGCCGCGGUAAUACGUAGGGUGCGAGCGUUAAUCGGAAUUACUGGGCGUAAAGCGUGCGCAGGCGGUUUUGUAAGACAGGCGUGAAAUCCCCGGGCUCAACCUGGGAACUGCGCUUGUGACUGCAAGGCUAGAGUACGGCAGAGGGGGGUGGAAUUCCACGUGUAGCAGUGAAAUGCGUAGAGAUGUGGAGGAACACCGAUGGCGAAGGCAGCCCCCUGGGCCGAUACUGACGCUCAUGCACGAAAGCGUGGGUAGCAAACAGGAUUAGAUACCCUGGUAGUCCACGCCCUAAACGAUGUCAACUAGGUGUUGGGUGGGUAAAACCAUUUAGUACCGUAGCUAACGCGUGAAGUUGACCGCCUGGGGAGUACGGCCGCAAGGUUAAAACUCAAAGGAAUUGACGGGGACCCGCACAAGCGGUGGAUGAUGUGGAUUAAUUCGAUGCGACGCGAAAAACCUUACCUACCCUUGACAUGUCCGGAAUCCCUGAGAGAUUGGGGAGUGCCCGAAAGGGAAUCGGAACACAGGUGCUGCAUGGCUGUCGUCAGCUCGUGUCGUGAGAUGUUGGGUUAAGUCCCGCAACGAGCGCAACCCUUGUCGUUAAUUGCCAUCAUUAAGUUGGGCACUUUAGCGAGACUGCCGG
This 918-nucleotide ribosomal RNA is filed under the name uncultured bacterium. RNAcentral describes it as "bacterial SSU rRNA". It matches the Rfam family "Bacterial small subunit ribosomal RNA", at positions 246 to 1155 of the family's 1533-position model. The record is from RNAcentral.